CCAGCCGCGGCUCUGCGCCAGCCAUCGGGAUUUACACGCUGCUCCGGCUGCACCUCAAACUCUUGGGCUUCCUGCGCUGCACCGUCCUCCGCGGCCGCACCGUUUGGCGAAGAGAUCUGUUGUUAUAAAGCCUGGACCUCCGGAGGAGAUGGAAGUUUUCUCCCUCAUCCUGGUCGUGUCCGUCUGUUGGACUCGAACCUGGAAAGCGGCGAUUGCAGAUUCAAUCAUUCAUAUCGAGUGCACUUCAGCUGGAGAGACCUCUUCCUGCUUUGGUCAGGGACUCACCAUAAAAGCUCCAGGAAGGGAUAUUGCAAGAGCUGCAUUAAAUUAAAGAAAAGAAAAGAAAAGAGAAAAGAAAAGAGAAAAGAAAAGANNNNNNNNNNNNNNNNNNNNNNNNNNNNNNNNNNNAAAAGAAAAGAAAAGAAAAGAAAAGAAAAGAAAAGAGAAAAAGCCCUCAUAAAAAGUGACAUUUACUUAAUGAGAAAGGAUAAGAGAGUAACUGCAGCAUUUUUGGGUAGCAUUAAAGUUAUGGUGGAAGAGGUGGUACAGAGACAAUUACUCUCGUUUUAGUCAACUGUAAACUGAUGGAUUUGUAAGAGCAGAGUUAGAUUUAAAGUAGAUUUCCAUUAUACACAUUAGUUGUGGAAUGAUGGGGGAGUAGGCUAGAAAAGAAAAGAUGAAAGGGAAAAAGUUUCUUGAAAGUUGUGCUGGGUUAUCUGACAAGCUCUAUACUCAGAAGGAAAUUGAAAAAGAAAAUAAGUAAAAAUGCAAGGAGGGGAAGAAAAUAAGAUAUCAAAGGCAAAAGCCACUAGUUCUGUCUGUUUCUAUUUCUUUGGGAGCUGUAUAAUGUUCCUGUAAAUGCUGUGCUCAGUGGAAAAGUCCUGAACCAGAAAGGGGAAAAAUGUGAAGAUACAGAAUUUAAAUGAGGAGUUAUAUGUGUAUUUUAAUGUAUUAGAUAACACUCUGUGCUGAAAUGCUAAUUAUUCCUAAUUGUUAUAUUUGCUUUAUCCAUGAAUAAAAUAUCACAUAUCUAAUAAAAUAUGCA
Molecule: long non-coding RNA, 1045 nt
Filed under: Parus major (Great Tit)
Lineage: Eukaryota; Metazoa; Chordata; Aves; Passeriformes; Paridae
Description: lncRNA (ENSPMJG00000009266.1)
Source: RNAcentral